RNAcentral lists this ribosomal RNA (301 nucleotides) under uncultured bacterium. Its description in RNAcentral is "partial 16S ribosomal RNA". It matches the Rfam family "Bacterial small subunit ribosomal RNA", at positions 509 to 807 of the family's 1533-position model. The record is from RNAcentral.
CAGCAGCCGCGGUAAUACGUAGGGUGCAAGCGUUAAUCGGAAUUACUGGGCGUAAAGCGUGCGCAGGCGGUUUGUUAAGACAGAUGUGAAAUCCCCGGGCUCAACCUGGGAACUGCAUUUGUGACUGGCAAGCUAGAGUGUGGCAGAGGGGGGUGGAAUUCCGCGUGUAGCAGUGAAAUGCGUAGAUAUGCGGAGGAACACCGAUGGCGAAGGCAGCCCCCUGGGCCAACACUGACGCUCAUGCACGAAAGCGUGGGGAGCAAACAGGAUUAGAUACCCCAGUAGUCCCUGUCUCUUAUAC